AUUGAACGCUGGCGGCAGGCCUAAGACAUGCAAGCCGAGCGGAUGAAGGGAGCUUGCUCCUGGAUUCAGCGGCGGACGGGUGAGUAAUGCCUAGGAAUCUGCCUGGUAGUGGGGGAUAACGUCCGGAAACGGGCGCUAAUACCGCAUACGUCCUGAGGGAGAAAGUGGGGGAUCUUCGGACCUCACGCUAUCAGAUGAGCCUAGGUCGGAUUAGCUAGUUGGUGGGGUAAAGGCCUACCAAGGCGACGAUCCGUAACUGGUCUGAGAGGAUGAUCAGUCACACUGGAACUGAGACACGGUCCAGACUCCUACGGGAGGCAGCAGUGGGGAAUAUUGGACAAUGGGCGAAAGCCUGAUCCAGCCAUGCCGCGUGUGUGAAGAAGGUCUUCGGAUUGUAAAGCACUUUAAGUUGGGAGGAAGGGCAGUAAGUUAAUACCUUGCUGUUUUGACGUUACCAACAGAAUAAGCACCGGCUAACUUCGUG
This 484-nucleotide ribosomal RNA is filed under the name uncultured bacterium. Its description in RNAcentral is "partial 16S ribosomal RNA". It matches the Rfam family "Bacterial small subunit ribosomal RNA", at positions 30 to 507 of the family's 1533-position model. The record is from RNAcentral.